This 491-nucleotide ribosomal RNA is filed under the name uncultured bacterium. Its description in RNAcentral is "partial 16S ribosomal RNA". It matches the Rfam family "Bacterial small subunit ribosomal RNA", at positions 29 to 506 of the family's 1533-position model. The record is from RNAcentral.
AGUGAACGCUGGCGGUAGGCCUAACACAUGCAAGUCGAACGGCAGCACAGUAAGAGCUUGCUCUUACGGGUGGCGAGUGGCGGACGGGUGAGGAAUACAUCGGAAUCUACUUUUUCGUGGGGGAUAACGUAGGGAAACUUACGCUAAUACCGCAUACGACCUACGGGUGAAAGCAGGGGAUCUUCGGACCUUGCGCGAUUGAAUGAGCCGAUGUCGGAUUAGCUAGUUGGCGGGGUAAGGGCCCACCAAGGCGACGAUCCGUAGCUGGUCUGAGAGGAUGAUCAGCCACACUGGAACUGAGACACGGUCCAGACUCCUACGGGAGGCAGCAGUGGGGAAUAUUGGACAAUGGGCGCAAGCCUGAUCCAGCCAUACCGCGUGGGUGAAGAAGGCCUUCGGGUUGUAAAGCCCUUUUGUUGGGAAAGAAAAGCAGCAGGUUAAUACCCCGCUGUUCUGACGGUACCCAAAGAAUAAGCACCGGCGAACUUCGU